GAGGCAUGAACCAAUUAGAACAGACCGGUCGAGAAGCAGCCAUUUGUGCGUUGAUGACCGUCGAGUAGAGCAGUAUUUAUAAUUUGCAUAAAAGCCAUACUUUGUGAUAGCAAUUGAGAAAAUUAUGCCUCGUCUUCAUAUUCUUUGUUUACUUUUAAAAGAAAAUAACAUGGCGUCGAAAUUACCAACGUCAGCCAGAAAAUUACUUUUUUCCUUUUGCUUCAUCUUGUCGUAGUUCGACGGAUUGAGUAAAAAUCCCCAAUGACGCAAGCUUAACGUAAGCAUUUGGUCUCGAAUACAACAGAUGGCGCCAUUGCUAAUUCAUGAAUGGCAAUAUCCUGAAUGGCUGAAAUGUCAUUCAAGAAAUAACCUAUCACGAGGAGAAACGGUUUCAGACGCUUGCCUGCAUCGAUUUGCAACCCUUUGCCUUGAGCACACAGCACGGAUUAAUGCCCUGUAAACGGAUAAAGAGAAGAUGCCCGAAGUGUAAGUGGUUCUGUAUGUAUAUUCUGCGGUUUCCGUGGUUUCAACAUGAAUUUACAUUUCGCGCAGGCUUUGGCGAUUGAUCAUCCCUUAUGCAGUGUCUGCUUAGCUAGUAGAUAUGGAAGUGCUUUGCUAUUGCUGCCAGCGUAAAACACCAGAUCGGUGCCUCCCGCAAUCUUUCCACCGCUUUAUUGUACGAAUUCCUUGCAAAGUAAUUAUUAAAAUUU
Molecule: unclassified non-coding RNA, 710 nt
Filed under: Rhagoletis pomonella (apple maggot)
Lineage: Eukaryota; Metazoa; Arthropoda; Insecta; Diptera; Tephritidae
Description: mucin-17-like, transcript variant X3
Source: RNAcentral